CACCAAGCCACUAGCCCAUAUAGUUGUAUAGAGAGAGAGGGAGUGGCGUGAGGUGGCUUCCAUUUCUAGAGUGAAGAAAGGAAAAAGAAGAAGAAAAUGGUUCAAGCUAGGGGUUUGAGCAAGGAGGUUAUUGGAUUCUUGAUUGGAUUGGAUUCUUGAUUUUCUAUCAAGAAGAGGUAGCAAAUAGGUUUCUCUGUGGCACGUGUGGUGACGUGAGGGGUUCUAUCGUCGUGGGGUGUAUGGCGUGGGGCAUCCUAUGGACGGAUAAAUGAUCACUUAGGACGCCAUUUAAAUUUUGAUUAUGUUUUAAGAGACUUUCUAAAUUAUCAGUGGGACUUAGUUAUUUAAUUUUGUUUCUUUUGAACUUUGCAUAAAAACUCAUAUUUUCUUUUUAAAACUAAUGGGCCCAACUUGCAUUGUUUUAAGCAAGUCCCCACUGAGACCUUUAUUAUAAGUAGUUUUCUUUUAUGAACUAAUGAUAUGUGGAUAUUUUAUUAAGUAUUAGUUUAGGACGUUCUUUACAGAAACUAUCCAAAAUUGACCUGGUCAACUUUGAUAAUUCUAAUUGAUAAUUAAAUCAAUUAAUUGAGACUAUCUAGGUGAUU
Long non-coding RNA from Humulus lupulus (European hop), 605 nucleotides. RefSeq lists it as uncharacterized. Lineage: Eukaryota; Viridiplantae; Streptophyta; Magnoliopsida; Rosales; Cannabaceae. The record is from RefSeq and is a predicted model, not a curated record. The transcript is spliced from 3 exons.